This 410-nucleotide ribosomal RNA is filed under the name bacterium enrichment culture clone ALO1_GLFRUDD03GCE5N. RNAcentral's name for it is "bacterial SSU rRNA". It matches the Rfam family "Bacterial small subunit ribosomal RNA", at positions 9 to 420 of the family's 1533-position model. The record is from RNAcentral.
GAGUUUGAUCCUGGCUCAGAUUGAACGCUGGCGGCAUGCCUUACACAUGCAAGUCGAACGGCAGCACGGGAGCUUGCUCCUGGUGGCGAGUGGCGAACGGGUGAGUAAUGCAUCGGAACGUAUCCUGGAGUGGGGGAUAACGUAGCGAAAGUUACGCUAAUACCGCAUAUUCUGUGAGCAGGAAAGCGGGGGACCUUCGGGCCUCGCGCUCUUGGAGCGGCCGAUGUCGGAUUAGCUAGUUGGUGAGGUAAAGGCUCACCAAGGCGACGAUCCGUAGCAGGUCUGAGAGGAUGAUCUGCCACACUGGAACUGAGACACGGUCCAGACUCCUACGGGAGGCAGCAGUGGGGAAUUUUGGACAAUGGGGGCAACCCUGAUCCAGCCAUGCCGCGUGAGUGAGAAGGCCUCGG